GACGAACGCUGGCGGCGUGCUUAACACAUGCAAGUCGAACGGUGAAGCGCCUUCCUUUUUGGUGGGUGUGGAUGAGUGGCGAACGGGUGAGUAACACGUGAGUAACCUGCCCCCUUCUUCUGGAUAACCGCAUGAAAGUGUGGCUAAUACGGGAUAUUCUGGGUCUGUCGCAUGAUGGGUCUGGGAAAGAUAUUGUUUCGGUGGGGGAUGGGCUCGCGGCCUAUCAGCUUGUUGGUGGGGUGAUGGCCUACCAAGGCGGUGACGGGUAGCCGGCCUGAGAGGGUGGACGGUCACACUGGGACUGAGACACGGCCCAGACUCAUACGGGAGGCAGCAGUGGGGAAUAUUGCACAAUGGGCGCAAGCCUGAUGCAGCGACGCCGCGUGAGGGAUGGAGGCCUUCGGGUUGUGAACCUCUUUCGCCAGUGAAGCAGGCCUGCCUCGUUUGUGGGUGGGUUGACGGUAGCUGGAUAAGAAGCGCCGGCUAACUACGUG
This 494-nucleotide ribosomal RNA is filed under the name uncultured bacterium. RNAcentral describes it as "partial 16S ribosomal RNA". It matches the Rfam family "Bacterial small subunit ribosomal RNA", at positions 28 to 507 of the family's 1533-position model. The record is from RNAcentral.